UACGAAGGGGGCUAGCGUUGCUCGGAAUCACUGGGCGUAAAGCGCACGUAGGCGGGUCGUUAAGUCAGGGGUGAAAUCCUGGAGCUCAACUCCAGAACUGCCCUUGAUACUGGCGAUCUCGAGUUCGGGAGAGGUGAGUGGAACUGCGAGUGUAGAGGUGAAAUUCGUAGAUAUUCGCAAGAACACCAGUGGCGAAGGCGUCUCACUGGCCCGAUACUGACGCUGAGGUGCGAAAGCGUGGGGAGCAAACAGG
This 253-nucleotide ribosomal RNA is filed under the name uncultured bacterium. Its description in RNAcentral is "partial 16S ribosomal RNA". It matches the Rfam family "Bacterial small subunit ribosomal RNA", at positions 524 to 776 of the family's 1533-position model. The record is from RNAcentral.